UACGGAGGGGGCUAGCGUUGUUCGGAAUUACUGGGCGUAAAGCGCACGUAGGCGGCUUUGCAAGUCAGAGGUGAAAGCCCGGGGCUCAACCCCGGAAUUGCCUUUGAGACUGCAUCGCUAGAAUUGUGGAGAGGUAAGUGGAAUUCCGAGUGUAGAGGUGAAAUUCGUAGAUAUUCGGAAGAACACCAGUGGCGAAGGCGACUUACUGGACACAUAUUGACGCUGAGACGCGAAAGCGUGGGGAGCGAACAGG
RNAcentral lists this ribosomal RNA (253 nucleotides) under uncultured bacterium. RNAcentral's name for it is "partial 16S ribosomal RNA". It matches the Rfam family "Bacterial small subunit ribosomal RNA", at positions 524 to 776 of the family's 1533-position model. The record is from RNAcentral.